UAAUGCAAAUGGAAACAAAACACCAGCUUGCUACAAACAAAAUAGUAUUUUCUCCCGUCUAUUGUAAUCUACUGAGAAAUAAAGUGUAUUUUGCUGCUCUAACACAAUGAAGCCAGACGAUAAUACUCCGAGACACAUGGAAUCAAGAACCCCAAGCAACAUCUGAAGCACAGCAGGCUUCACUUUCCUGAGGUCAGAGGACGUUUACAGUUGGAAGAGGAAGGACACAAAAGAAGGGGAUUGCUCUGAGCACCAUUUUAUCACUAACCAACAGCAUCUACUGACAGUUUAAUAGGCUGAAAGCAGGUGGUUUUCUUUAAGCAAGACAUACCCGACCGAAUUACUCUAAAUAUGUAUGGAAAGGAGAUUUUAAAAUUGCAAUCCAAAUUAUUAAUUAAAAAUUAAUAUUAAUGUACAGACACUCCAGUUUGCUUUCAGUUUUUAAUUUUUCUCAAUUUUUCAAAUCACAGUGACAACAAACCUCACAACAAAACAAAUGUUUCCUUAUCUGCUGCAGUAAAAUAACCUGUCACACGUAACUGAAAUCUCUGGCAAUCUUCAGAAUCUAGACGUCUUAUUACUUCCUUCUUUCACCACUUUGUCCUUGUGCCUCCUUCCUUUUUCCCUCCUUACAUCCUGCGCUUUGCUUUAUUUCUCUUUCAGCCUCACUAAUUUGCAAUUGAUUAGCUGUCCUCUCUCAGUCCUGCGCGCACUGCUCCUCCCUCGCCGUCUCUCCUCCCCACCCACCCGUCCUGUCCUCUCUUCCAUCUACGAGUCAAUUUCUCUUUAACGAGCCUCGGUACAUUUCUCUCCCCUGGGCACUAGAGCCCUUCUGUGUAAAUAAAACAGGGAGCAGAGCCAAAAAAAAUCAAUGGGCCUAUUACCCUUAGAAAAUGCUAAACAAGCAAUAUUAGCGACUCUCUUGGAAGUGGUGGCUGAUUGCCUUAAUACCUGCCCGCCAAAAGAAACACCUCCGUCUCCUUCUAUCCAUUCAUCUGCACAAUAAUCCGCAUGCUUUCUAACACACACUCGCGCAGUAAUACUCAGGCAUGCUGGAGCAAGAGUCAAAAUAAUUUGCUUCCAAAGCUCUCACACACACACACACACAACCGCAUGAUGCAUGAACCCACAGACUGCUGGCAGAAAUUAGGGAUUCGCUCUCCUGACAGAAAUCAUUCGGCACCACACAGAGCUGCAGGCCACAUUUUACCGCUUCUCAUUUUGUCUGUC
Poecilia reticulata (guppy) is the source of this 1230-nucleotide non-coding RNA. The record is from RefSeq and is a predicted model, not a curated record. NCBI's taxonomy places the organism in Eukaryota, Metazoa, Chordata, Actinopteri, Cyprinodontiformes, Poeciliidae.